GCUCAGGAUGAACGCUAGCUACAGGCUUAACACAUGCAAGUCGAGGGGUAGCAGGGUAGCAAUACCGCUGACGACCGGCGCACGGGUGAGUAACACGUAUCCAACCUUCCCAUAACUCGGGGAUAGCCUUUCGAAAGAAAGAUUAAUACCCGAUAGUACUUAUAUAAGGCAUCUUAAAUAAGUUAAAGAUUUAUUGGUUAUGGAUGGGGAUGCGUUCCAUUAGAUAGUUGGUGAGGUAACGGCUCACCAAGUCUUCGAUGGAUAGGGGUUCUGAGAGGAAGGUCCCCCACAUUGGUACUGAGACACGGACCAAACUCCUACGGGAGGCAGCAGUGAGGAAUAUUGGUCAAUGGGCGAGAGCCUGAACCAGCC
This 372-nucleotide ribosomal RNA is filed under the name uncultured Bacteroidales bacterium. RNAcentral's name for it is "bacterial SSU rRNA". It matches the Rfam family "Bacterial small subunit ribosomal RNA", at positions 22 to 393 of the family's 1533-position model. The record is from RNAcentral. Lineage: Bacteria; Pseudomonadati; Bacteroidota; Bacteroidia; Bacteroidales.